UAAUCCUUUUUAUAUAUUUAUUUUUAUUUUAUUUUGGAUUUUAUAUUUUGGUAGAUGUAUUUUAUUAGUUUAAUUAGGUUCUAUGUUUAAUGCAUUUAGAUUGGUUAAUUUAUCUAAUUCAGUUAGUUAGUUAAUUAGAUUAAGUUUUGUUAAAUAUUUAAUAUACUUAGGUAAAUAGAUUAAUUAGUUUCAUGGGUAUAUAAGUCCCAAUCAAAUUUCUACCUUGUCACCAUAUCACUUGUAAAUAAAAUCAAA
This 255-nucleotide long non-coding RNA is filed under the name Lathyrus oleraceus (garden pea). Its description in RNAcentral is "Pisum sativum (pea) long non-coding RNA (PSAT_LNC008576)". Lineage: Eukaryota; Viridiplantae; Streptophyta; Magnoliopsida; Fabales; Fabaceae. The record is from RNAcentral.